RNAcentral lists this long non-coding RNA (10980 nucleotides) under Gallus gallus (chicken). The record is from RNAcentral. Lineage: Eukaryota; Metazoa; Chordata; Aves; Galliformes; Phasianidae.
GGGACAGGGACGCUGCUGCCCUGGUGCAGCAAGCAGGGCUCCUCUGCAUCCUCCCACCCCUCUUAUUUCCCCGCACCUCCCCGACUGAAGCCAACCUCCAGCGCUGCUAAUCCAUCCCAUGGCAGCAUCCCGCUGCUCGCACCUGUGGGGCACGCCGGCCAGCUGGUGUUAAUUGCUGAAAGUUGCUUUCUGAAGGCAGCCCUCCUUGCACAGCAUCCCGCAUCCUAUCCUGCUAAGGAAGGUGCGUUCCCUCUGCAGGAGCCGGCUGGAGCAGGAGCGCAGGAGAUCGGUGGGGAUGCCGGAGCGCAGCAGUGGGUUGGCACCGGCAGCCCCAUGGAGUUUGAGCCGGGCACGGCGGGCUUCUUCCCCCCCGAGGAAAUAUCUCAGAUACAGCCAGUUCCACCACAGCCAUACAGAUCCAGGACCUGUUGGGGAAGCGCCGGGAAGGUUGGGAAAUCCUGCCUAGUGGCCAGGGCUCCAGGAUGCCCAUCCAUGGUGAAGUCAGAGCGCCCAGGGCUCAAACAUCCUAGAACACAUCAGAAAUCUACCAGCAUCACAGUGCUGAGCCAAAGCGUCCCGGCAGUGCGCAAUGAGCAGUGGGGAAACGUGGUGGUUAAAGACAGCCUCCCAAGAGCCUGGCGGGAUUGACGAGAGGUGGGGGAUCUUUUAUUAUCAUUAUUGUUGUUUUCUGAUUAAUUAUUUUUGUCCUUCUAUCAGUAUUUAUCUUUUUAUGGAGUGAAAAGCACUUUAUAGGCUUUUGAAGAGUUGAGAAAAGGAGGUAGAUGAAGGGGAAUAGCAAUAUCUUGGAGACGAUGGGUUGACGGUUGGAGUGGAUGGUCAUAGCUGUCUCUUCCAACUUGAUUGUUCUACUAUCUUCAGAAGUAAGCCCUCCUUGACUCUGAACAGCUUAAAAACAAAACAAGACAAGACACAAACAAACAGGGAAGUGCAGCUGCCUCUGCAGAAACAAGCCCUGCUCUCGCCUCACCACCGUGACUCAUGGCCAGAACCCAAUUCCCAGCAAAAGGAGGUGUGCUAAUCCUGAACGAGCUGCUUGGGUGCUGCAUUCAGGGAGCAGAUAACAGAGAGGUGUACAUAGACACAGACCUGCAUGCUUGGCUUCUUGUUUAUGCCAUCCUCUGCUGCUGAACUCCAGGAGCCCCACGAUCACCUUGUGGCUGCUCCUUUUGUGCAGAGAGCCCCAUACAAGUGAGUGCAGCAAAAUAAUUGUUCCAAACCACAGCUGAUGCUAUCAGUUAUCUGCCAGCUAUUAUCUGUGGUGAAAUAAAGGCAAAGUGAGCAAUCACUUGGGUAGAUAGCUCAGGGCAAGGAGCCAUCCCAUUCCCUUGUGCUCUUUCACCAUCACCAGCUCCAAAGCGGAUCUGGCCAUAAAACAUUGGGGCUCAGAAUUGGGGACAGAAAAAGGAGGGAGGGCCAAGGCAAGGGAAAGCGGCAUGGUGGCAUCAAUGAGCAGACAGUGAGGAUGAAUACAAAAUAAAAUAAAUAAAAACCCUCCCAGAACUCAAGUAACUCACUAAGGAAGCCUUAACAGCCCAAGAAAAGAAGAAGAAAAAAAAAAAAAGAAUGAAAAAGCAAGCCCUGUAAAGCCCUACUGAAUUAAAUAUAUGAACAGAUAAAUGCCUUGCUCUUCUCACCUGCGGGCACCUAAAAUCACCAACAAUCUCCCAGCAGAGGGUGGAUGCAGAAGCCCCCAAAGAAAGCACCACUCGUGACAAGUAGUCAAAUAGUUGAAGGUUUUAUUCAUAUAAAACUCAUAUUAAGAACAUAAAAGAUUGCAUCUUAAAAAAAAAAAAGAUCUGCAAUUAUUUACAGCAGUAUUGCACAAGUAAAGUGGCAAUUACCCUGUCCAAAAUUCAUCAGUGCAAAACACAAGUAAGCCAGGGAAAUUGCAAUAAAAAUGCUACAUAUGCUGGGUCCUAUGAAACGAGUUAGUGAUUAACUGGGACAUCAGUGUGCACUCCGGUUGUACCUGAUGCUACAGCUGGUCCGGGGUCUUGGCUGAGAUGGAGGAGAAUGUGGUUUUAAAGAAGAGAGGACCAAAACUGUGGUGGAGAAGCCAAACUUCCCCUGACUCUCCCUAAUGCUGCAGUCUCGGAGAUGCCUAUAUCCCUAUGGGAGUGCAGGGCUUAGGCACUUCAAUCAUCUCCACACCGUGUUGGCUGUGCUGAAUCCACCGGGCAGUGCUGGAAGGUCCAUCGCUCACAUGGUCCAUCCACACCGCAGACCUGGGGCAGGAGGAGAGAGGGGCAGACAGAACCUUGACAGGAAUUUAAAUAAGCAGGAAAUAAAUAGACAUCGUUUCUACAAGUUACAGCAUGACAGAACAGUAGAGUGCAUUGAUUACAGAGGGGCAGGGGGAAAAAAUAAUAAAGGGGGGAGGGAAGGAAAUCUACAGUAUUUACCAAGUUUAACUCUAAAAAAUGUUUAGGAAAAAAACAGGAUUUUUUGAUUACUUAUAAGCUGUACAAAACUUACAUGAGAGAAUGGAAAGAGAAUACAUUGCACGCAGAUAUUUGGCUCAGAUGAUGAAAAUAAUACGGUGUCCUAUUCUAAUAAAUAGUCAGGUAUUUACAGUUACCAACUGAGAAGCAUAACGUGUGGCGUGAGACCAUCCACCACCCCGGGGCUCUCUGCAACCACAGAACUUCAUGGAAUCGUUUUGGCAGAACAGAGAGCACAGGUGAUGUGGGCUUAAAACGACCCAAAUCCAUUGGGUAACACUGCUGAAGUGAUUUUAACUGCUGAUUUAAAACCAUCAUUCUUCCUUAUGGGGACAUAUAAAAGAAAAAAUAAAAAAAAAUAAACAAUUCUCACAGCCCUACAGGGAUGAAACCUGUUGGUUUUUUUUUUUUGUUUGUUUGUUUGUUUUUUUUUUGGAGCUACAUUUUCCUCUGUCUGCCUUCUGGCUGGGAAGGCUGGAUAUGGAGCAGCCCAAGCCAGAUGGUGCCAAUCCCUUGCGUUCUUCCCCUUAUUUUUUGCCUCCGCAGCACAGAGCCAGGAGGACAGGGUAAAGUGCUGGGUGCUGGCCACCACUCUUUGGUGUGCUCCAUUGGACGCAGGACCAGAAAAGCUAAACUUGCUCCACUCUCCUUCCAAUGAGUGCAAUCAGGGGCACCGCAGCCCCACGCCAACAGGUCAUUGCCUCCCAGCUGGUGCAAAGAGGUCAGACUGUACACAGCUCUUCUAACACAGGAACACUGAUCUUCACACAGUGGCACGCAGAACAGUUUCUCCUGACGUGCAUAUUGCAAUGCGGUAGGAAAAACCGCUAUCGUAGGGCCGGGUUUGCUUCUUCUUCUAUGAUGCUGGUGAAACCAGAAAUAACUGCAGCAUUUGAAAGGUGAUUUUAGGACCAUCCACACCAGCUGGAGGAAAGGGGACAGUUUUGAAGGUGAGAGGAGUAUGUUCGUGCAUAGAAACGCAGGCGGUCGAGGCAAUGACGCGCCCCAAAAAGCACCUGCUGUGCAGAAGCCUCCUGUGUGAGAUGAACCAGAGAUGAUGGCAAGGCCUCCAUUGGCCAGGACACACACCCAAAUGUUGACCUCCUCGAGCCACGUGGCAGGGUCUCCAGAUGGGAGGAGAAACAGGGCAUCAUCCUGGGGCGUCAAACACCUGCUGAGGUCUUCCCAGGCAGGAGGAGAUGUGCCACAAGGAGAAGAUCGGCCCAAGGCGAGCAGGGUGCAGACCCCACGCUCCACGAUGAGUUGAUACCAUCUGAACAGCAUGCACAAGCAAGUCUGCGUCCUUCAGCGCUGCACGGCCCCUCAUUCAGCUGGAUCCCAUCAAAGGAACCUUCGGGGUCUUCAUCCCCUCACUCCUUGCCCGCAGACGGUGGACUCCUCCCAUCACGCUGGUCCAGUUCAAACAGAGGAUCCCAGAAAACAUCCAGUGUGCCAAAAACCCUCUUGGGUUUAACAGCAACACGCUAGCCAUGCCUUAGAACAGCUCCUGGAGUCGCACAGCAAGACCUGUCACUGGGUGCAAAACUGCAGUGGUUUGGGAACUGUUUCAACCUGCCUCCACAGACAUCUUAUUGCUGAAUUACUCAGUCACCGAUAUUAUAUAUUAUAAUAUUAUACAAUACAUAAGCAUUUUCACACAUCUUAUAGAAAGAAUUUCUAAAAAGGCAACCUGGUGGAUUGUUUUUUGUUUGGUUGGUUGGUUGUGAUAUUUUGGACCCUGGGAAUCUGACAGCUAAGUCUUGAAAUUCAGAAUUUAAAAUAAAAAUUGGGAAAAAAAAACAAACAGUCAGCAGGAAAUAGGCUAUUUGCAUGACGCAAACGAAGUUGGAUUUGGGUAGCAUUAGGUAUUUACACGUAAAACAAGUGCUGAUUAAAAUCCCUCUGCCCUUCUUCCAUCCUCAUCCUCUUUGGCGGGCAGGAGGCGGCAGCGCAGCGGCCGGGGCGUGUCGGACGCUCCCUGCAACACCUGCAGCACAAAUAAGGCAGCUCUGCAGAUCAGCUGGAUCUGGAGGGUCUUGGGGCGUAUCCAAGACGAGCCAACAGAUUUCCAGAAGCGAUGACCAAACAUCGUCACUGAGGACUUUUCUCUGAGACAAUUAAAAAACAAUAAUUAAAAAUGGAGAGAAACACAGUAAACACCACUCUCAGAUAAAAUCGAGCUUCGGAGCAUCCCGGCAGGUCCACGUGGGAAAUCCACCCUCCUCCAGCCACUGCAUGCCCAGGCCAGGGGGGCAGCUUAGAAGCUCCAAGCUCCAGCAUCAGCUCUUCUCCAUUGGUUUCUGGAAGAAGCCAUUGAGUCCCAGCAGCCCGCACAGCCGGCGUCACUGCAUCCUCCAGAUGAGGCGGAUGAUGUAAUGCAGGAGGCGCAGAAUGACAACCUGGGGGUUUCCAGCACGGUUAUCCAAGAAACCCUAGGAGGGAAACGGGGCGGAAAGUAAGGAAGUGACUUGAAUUCCCAGCUACCGUGAGUUGAACAACUCCUGCACGUGAGGAAGAAGGUGGCCCUGGCACCUUCCUCACUGCAACUCCGAGCUUUCUCCCUACUGCUGCCACUAUGAGGAAAGGUCUACAUUUACCUACUGAGCUUGCUUCAAGGAGUUCAAGACAGAUAAGACCACAAAGUUUGCCCCAGGGGGUGGCCAAAAUGCACUGAUUCUAGUUAUUUGCCACUGCCAAGGGGAUGCAGAGGGAAAAAGCACAAAAACAAAAUCAAGAGAACUCAACAACAUCAAGCGCCUCAGUACUGGACGAGCCACCGCUGGCAUCCCAGCCAGCACCAAACCAAAACUGCUGCAAGAUGAGCAGUUCCCUGUCCCCAGCCUCAGGGAUUAGUAUUUCCCCCCAGCACAUUCAUAAAAUGGGCUCAAUUCAAGUUCACUGAAGCCAACUCAAGAUUUCUUCUGAGCAGGAGAUAAUCCAACACAAAUAGGGCAAAUACCCCAAUGCCUUCAAGCAAGGCUGAGCACACAGUUCUCAGCUCUUGCUAACACUGGAAACUGUGAGAUUUCACAAACUAGAAAUCACGCAUUUUAUGGUUUUACCAAGAAGUAAACCCAGCCUCCUUUCAUGUUGGCUUUCGAUGAAAAGCUUUAUAGUCCUCAGUGGGCCAAAGCUGCCUCCUCCCUGCCACAUCUGCUGUGAAUGCUCAGACAGGACAUCACGCCGACUCCCUCACCUGGGUGUGGGAUGCACAUAACGCUGCUUGAGGCCGCAAUGUGGAAGCAAGCAGUAAGCCCUGCUAGGAGAAGCUGGGACGUAAUAACAAUAAUACAAAACCCAACUAGAAAUGAAGACCCCACAGUAGGAAGAGCAGUGGCAGGAGAGGCAGGUUCCCACUGAUGGUGGUGGCCAUGGCUUCAGCUCUGAUGGCUCAGGGUGCAGCCACUGCAGCAGAGCACUCCUUUGAGCACAGGAUCAGUAUUUCACAGCAACAUUCAAAGAGCAUUUACUUUUGGGUCCUUUUUCCCUCCCCAGCCCCAGCAGCAAAACAGAAGUCCCAGCACCACCACCUCUAGUUUCCCACGCUGUCAGAGCAUGGUGCAGUUUGGGCUAUAUUUAGUGCUGCAGAACCAUGUCUGUACAUGCCCUGCAGGGAGAAAUCAUGCUGCUAACACCGAUAUGCAAACUCCUCUCGCAGGCACAGGGGCACACAGAGCGCACUGUCCCCCCCAGAGGAUGCUCAAGCAUUCCACAGCCAGGUGGAGAAGGGUGAGCAGCACAUUUUCAGCUCACCAUGCAUCCGCUGUGCGUGGAGCUGGGUUUCCAGGCAGGAGAGCACAGCAGCCACUCCCGCUUGCUCAACCUCUUUGUCAAGGGGGAUUGAUGCUGAAUUACCCAAUUCCCUGUGUUGUUUUUGCCCUGGGGAGCUUUUAAGGGGAGACAGAACACAGCCAGGCUGCUUUUGGGGACCCCAUGCUGGCGUCCCAGCCAGGCCCUUGUCCCCAGGGCCUCCAGCUGGGCACACUGGGGCAGAGGAGCAGUGCCGACCCGUCCGACAGCCCCGACCUGUCUGGCAAGCACCGUUUUGGCACUGCUGAUCUCCCCAUUUCCACCCGUGCUCAAAGGGCAAACCCAAAUGAACCCGCUGCGAAUGGAGGGUGAUGGCAACAAGGGCUGCCAGCAAAACCUCAUGUUUACCCCCUUCCCUGGUGCUGUGCUGCCAAUUCAGCUCUGCAAGCAUGAGCUUCUUUAGCAGCAAGCUACUCACAGAAGGAAAAGGCAACUUUUCAGGGAGCAAUAGCCAAGCACACUGGGGACAAUAAAUCCACAGCAAUUACUUAAAUGCUCUGAAAGCCGUUUGGUUCUGGAUGCAACAGACAAGAGGAAUUCAUCAGACUAAUUAAGCCUGCGGGAAGCGAUACUACUUUGCCCUUACACUCUCCAACAAGCCCUGCUGCAACCCUCACCCACGUGCACAGCAGGGAAGGAAAACAAGAGCAAAUCCACAAGGGAAGCUGCUGACUCCAGAGCAGGGGAAAAACUCAUGAACUCAAAAAGAAUGAGCUGGUAAGAGAGCAGAAGCAAGAGUGCCUGUGGGGCAGCACCAGGACAGGCACCCAUUCUGGGGAGAGCUUCUGCCGUGCAGACUCUGGACACAGUGAGGAAGUGACUCAUGAGCUGGGGGGAUGAAUAAAGAUGUGGGCAGUCAGCACAUCAUCACCAACAUCUCCUGCCUCCUCUUCCCACAGGUAAGCCAAGGGAAGGGGAGAUGGACUAGAAACCACAUGUACAAACAUGCAGUUAUGAACAAUGGAUGGGAGGCAAGUUAUCAGCUAUCACUGCUCUUCUGAUAAUUGCUGUUACUUCAUCUCUUUGUGUGUGUCAGUACCACUCAUUUUUGUUGCGCCACUUCAAGGUGAGACUUUACAGCCUUACAGAUCUAGUGGGCACAGUGGUGAUGGGUCAGUGGUUGGCCUGGAUGAUCCAAAUGGUCUCCUCCAACCUUAGUGAUUCUGUGAAACACACAAUUUUUAGAAGAGCUUUUGCUCUUUCUAGCUUCUAGGAGAAAUAAGCUACCAGAGCAGGUUCAUCCCUGUUGCUAUACUUUGAUACCGGUGACCCUUCAUAGCAGCAACUCCCUUACAACGGUGGUGCUGGUACCCAAGAGCUGCCAGCCAUUCAGCACGGCGCCUUCCAAUGCCACUCCAACAACACACAGCUACACCUGAGCUCUGCUUGCCUUACGUGGUUCCCUCCUUAUCACCAGUUCAGUGCUAACCCAGAGACAGAUGGUGCUUUGCAGUACCAUGAAUGAAGCCACGAUACCCGAAAAUCUCCGGUCCCAACUCGAAAGGUGAUGCUGAGUAUAUUUAAUGACGCGGCGGCAGCAGACGACAGCCACCCGCGCAUCCUUUUCUACAUUUGAGUGAGCAAAACACUUGCCACAGAGCUAGUUUCCAGAUAUGAUUAAGCUUUUCCCUUUUAGAGACUGUGCGUAAAGAAAUGGAAAGUAAAAAUAAGAAAAUUACCCUUCUUGGACAAUAGGAGGCAUUGAAUUCAUCCCCGAUGCGCCGCAGCUCCUGUGCAAUCCAUAUUUCUGGUUGUAUUUCUUCUGCAAGCGAGUGAGAUCGCCACCUGGAAGCUGCACAGAGCAAAAACAGAGCGUUGGAAACAGGAACGACUCAAAAAGCAAAUGCUCCAUUAAACCUGGGAAGAACGCAUCUGAGACUCGCUGUGUGAUGCGUGCACUGCAGGCUUGUACCAGUAGUGGUUCUGUGUUAUUAUUAGGCUUUUUUUCGUUAUUAUAUCAGCAGCUUCUUCCGUAGCAAAAUCUUACUUUCCCCUUUUCUAAACGUAAUGAUUUCUCACAGCGCAAAGUAGCAACUCCGUCUCUAACCUUAAAAAACCUCAGUCCUCAUAAUCUGAUCUAAUUCUCACAUUUCUUCCCCCAGCAGCGGAGGCAUCCAACGAGACAAGGAGCGCGGCUGUUUCUGCUGCACUAAGAAGAAAGCCACAAUUGGACACAGUGCACUCAGAGCAAACUUGAGGACUUUUCAUCCCCACGAUGGGGCUGGAAGGUUCUGCUCUUCAAUAUUAUGUUCCAGCACUUCAGCAGAAAGUAAACCAGGCACAAGAAAACAGCACUGGCUUAUAAAGGAGGAAAAAAAAAAAAAAAAGAGCUAACGUAUCACUUAUGCUGAAUAUACAGCACCAAGCCCUUCAGUCUCCAUUUUAAGUUCCUGAGCACAUGAUAAAAACCACGGGUACAAGCCACCAAAUAUUGGAGGGGAAAUGAGCAACCCCCGGUGCAGCACCUGUGCCCCCCUCCUGCCAAGGAAAGCUCAGAUUUGAGCAAGAAACACAGCCUAAACAUUAAAAAAAAAAGGUAAUAAAAAAAAUAGGAAACAAAACAACACACACACACCCCUCAAGAAAAAAAAAAACAGCACACAAAACAAAACAGAGCAUUUCACAAACUUGGCACCCAAGCUCCAAAGGACUCGUGAGGGAAUACAAAUAGCUUCCAAUCUCUAAAUAUUCAAAGGAUUAGUAGGGCAGUAAGAAAAUAAAUAAAUAAAAAAUAUUAAAUAAGGAGUCUGGCUCCGACCCGACUGGAAAAUGUCUUUCUGAGCCAAGCUGACACAGCUUGGCUCGGGGAGCUGUUUUGUUUUCACACUGUAGUAGCGCAGGAGCGGUGCCCGCUGCCUUCCCGGGACAGCCCCGCGCUGUUUCUUCCCCUGGUCACUGAAUGAACUGCAGCACGAGAGCAGAGCCCACGCGGGAGCCCAACAGCACCACGCGGGACACGACACGGCCACGACCCGCAGCACGGCCCGCCCGCCGGGACGCGUGGCUGAGAGUGAAAUCGGGCUGAGGUUUUCAGAAAGGACUUUCUGCGGCGCUGCCGGAUCGCAAUAUCAAAAGCGUCCAGUCAUAAUGGCAGAGAGGUAGAGGAACUCUCCGAGCGUGGCCACAGUCAUAGCGGGAGCCGGUGCUGCCCCAGGGCAGGCAGCCCCCCUCUGUGUGAGCCACGGAUGGGCGCUCUGCACGCCUCCAGGCUGCCCCAACGCUGGGACUGCGGCCGCCAGACGGCUGUAAUGAGUAAUUCAGGCUGCUGGGGAUGGGGCCAUCAAUAGAGCGGGACCGUAGGUGGUGGGUGCCCCACCCUUGGGGACACGUGAGGUCUGAGCAUCUCUGCUCGCUGCAGGGCAGUUGGACCUGGUGGCCUUGAUGGUCCCUUCCAACCUCCUCUAAUUGUGCCAAAGCGAAGUCUGUAGCCCGAAGCCCAGGAGGUGUCUGCCAAGUUUCACUGCCCAAUGUCACCCAGGGAGCAGGAGCUGCCACCUCCACCCAGCACCCACACCCAGGCGCAGCCCUGAGAAACAGCGUGGCACAGGGAUGAUGCAUGGCCCAGCAAAGCAACGCAGCCGUGCCCACACUCACAGGUGGAAACCAAACCACCUUCCAGGCUUUGUAACGCAAAUCCCCUCCAACACAACCACAGGCCAGGCAGGCAGAGAGGAGCACCCAGCCCGCACCACACCAACACACACACCUCCACCUUCUCGCUUCAAGGCUUUCCCUGCUGCACCCAGAGGAUUUCCCCCUUUUCCAUGCAAGGCUGAGACGAAACCGCUCCUUUCCCCUCCGUGCCUCACCCGAAACCAGCAAGGACUUAAGAGCAGCGGGGCCGUGCAGCUCACAAACACGUAUGCACGCACGCACACACACAAACAGCCGCCUCCCCCGACUCGCUGCCGGGUGAUGGAAGCGCACACUGCGCAGGAGAGCACAGCGACGUCCCGCAGGCACGGGGAGCGCUCACCCGCAGGGCGCUGCCUGCCCCGCGCAAGCAAACCCACGGGUCGGCUCCCACCGAGAGCCAAACAUCCGCCGGAGAUUCCUCGGGCAGCAGCAGACAGCUGCCUGCGGGGCUCGGGUGACAUUCUUCGGGCACUCCCACGGGCAGGCCGCCCCCAAGCACGGCACGGCGCGGCUUUCCGUGCCCGCAAAGCGCAGCGCGCCCCAGGCGGAGCGGCGGGCGCCGUCCGGGCGGUGCCACGCGAGCGCUCGUUGUGAAACUCGCAGCAAGCCGUAAGGACGGCGGUAAGGUCAGAAAACCUUUCCUAGGGGCACGUCGCAGUCAGCGCUGCAGCUGUAACCACAGACCUUCACCAAGAGGGAAAAAAAAAAAAAAACAACAACCAAAGCAAACAGCACCGCGCGGCCAGACGCGCCCGGCCGGCCGCCAUCCCCGCAGCGCUACCUGCCAGCCGCCGCCCGCCCCGCGCCGCCCCGCCCGGCACUCACCCAUGGCGCUCAGGUAGUGGCUGACGGCCUGGCACGGCGGGCUGGGGGUCUGCGUGGCCUUAUCGCAGCUCAUGGGCGCGGGGCUGCGCUCGGCCUCGAAGGAGAAGUACCCGCUGGAGGAGCGCGGCAGCAGCGGGGACCUCCGCACGAAGAAGAAGAGCGGCGAGCGGAUGGCGAACGGGCCGGGGCUGCCGGGCGAGGCGGGCCGGGCGGCGCCGGGCAGCGCGGCGGGGGCUCCGGGCCGCAG